This is a long non-coding RNA of Pomacea canaliculata, 205 nucleotides long. RefSeq lists it as uncharacterized. The transcript is spliced from 3 exons. NCBI's taxonomy places the organism in Eukaryota, Metazoa, Mollusca, Gastropoda, Architaenioglossa, Ampullariidae. The record is from RefSeq and is a predicted model, not a curated record.
GUUUCAAUGAUAGUGGGCUUGUCACUCGCUUUACUGCUUUGUUUGCUCAACAUCCUUCGCUCUCUCAGCAGCUACAGAGUCACUCUUCUUGCCCUCUACAGAGGAGAUCAUUCCCACAUCCCACCGCCGGAUGCCGGCAGCUAUGUUAAUUACUGUGUAAACAGCAUCAAGUACGGAGGAUUUCAAGUUGCGUAUAUUGUUUGGG